UGGGGAAUAUUGGACAAUGGGGGCAACCCUGAUCCAGCCAUACCGCGUGAGUGCUAAGGCCUUCGGGUUGUAAAACUCUUUUACCCACGACGAUGAUGACGGUAGUGGGAGAAUAAGUCCCGGCAAACUUCGUGCCAGCAGCCGCGGUAAUACGAAGGGGACUAGCGUUGUUCGGAUUUACUGGGCGUAAAGGGCGCGUAGGUUGUAGAAUAAGUCAGGUGUGAAAUCCCCGAGCUCAACUUGGGAACUGCAUUUGAUACUGUUUUACUGGAGUAUGGGAGAGGUGAGCGGAAUUCCGAGUGUAGAGGUGAAAUUCGUAGAUAUUCGGAAGAACACCGAUGGCGAAGGCAGCUCACUGGACCAUAACUGACACUGAGGCGCGAAAGCGUGGGGAUCAAAC
RNAcentral lists this ribosomal RNA (400 nucleotides) under uncultured bacterium. RNAcentral's name for it is "bacterial SSU rRNA". It matches the Rfam family "Bacterial small subunit ribosomal RNA", at positions 355 to 773 of the family's 1533-position model. The record is from RNAcentral.